GAUGAACGCUGGCGGCGUGCCUAAUACAUGCAAGUCGAGCGAACAGACGAGGAUCUUGCUCCUCUGACGUUAGCGGCGGACGGGUGAGUAACACUUGGAUAACCUACCUAUAAGACUGGGAUAACUUCGGGAAACCGGAGCUAAUACCGGAUAAUAUAUUGAACCGCAUGGUUCAAUAGUGAAAGACGGUUUUGCUGUCACUUAUAGAUGGAUCCGCGCCGCAUUAGCUAGUUGGUAAGGUAACGGCUUACCAAGGCGGCGAUGCGUAGCCGACCUGAGAGGGGGAUCGGCCACACUGGAACUGAGACACGGUCCAGACUCCUACGGGAGGCAGCAGUAGGGAAUCUUCCGCAAUGGGCGAAAGCCUGACGGAGCAACGCCGCGUGAGUGAUGAAGGUCUUCGGAUCGUAAAACUCUGUUAUUAGGGAAGAACAAAUGUGUACGUAAAUAUGCACGUCUUGACGGUACCUAAUCAGAAAGCAACGGCUAACUACGUG
RNAcentral lists this ribosomal RNA (497 nucleotides) under uncultured bacterium. RNAcentral describes it as "partial 16S ribosomal RNA". It matches the Rfam family "Bacterial small subunit ribosomal RNA", at positions 28 to 507 of the family's 1533-position model. The record is from RNAcentral.